GUCCACGCCGUAAACGAUGGGUGCUAGGUGUGGGAGGUGUCGACUCCUCCCGUGCCGCAGCUAACGCAUUAAGCACCCCGCCUGGGGAGUACGGCCGCAAGGCUAAAACUCAAAGGAAUUGACGGGGCCCGCACAAGCAGCGGAGCAUGUUGUUUAAUUCGACGCGACGCGAAGAACCUUACCAGGGCUUGAAAUGCUCGGGAAAGCCGGGGAAACUCGGCCCUCCUUCGGGACUCGAGUACAGGUGGUGCAUGGCUGUCGU
This 262-nucleotide ribosomal RNA is filed under the name uncultured bacterium. RNAcentral's name for it is "partial 16S ribosomal RNA". It matches the Rfam family "Bacterial small subunit ribosomal RNA", at positions 793 to 1055 of the family's 1533-position model. The record is from RNAcentral.